RNAcentral lists this ribosomal RNA (793 nucleotides) under uncultured archaeon. RNAcentral describes it as "bacterial SSU rRNA". It matches the Rfam family "Archaeal small subunit ribosomal RNA", at positions 85 to 879 of the family's 1478-position model. The record is from RNAcentral.
ACUGCUCAGUAACACGUAGCUAACCUGCCCUAAUGUCUGUGAUACCCUCGGGAAACUGAGGUUAAUAACGGAUGGAUGAUUUUUUCUGGAAUGAUUAAUCGUCGAAAGUUAACGUUAGGAUGGGGCUGCGGCUGAUUAGGUAGUCGGCGGGGUAAAAGCCCACCAAGCCAAUGAUCAGUAAGGGCCUUUAGCGAGGGGGCCCUGAGAGGGAGUCUGAGACACAACUCCCAGCCCUACGGGGUGCAGCAGGUAGGAAACUUCUGCAAUACACGAAAGUGUGACAGAGCAAGCCAGAGUGUUUUUCUAUAUAAUAGAAAAUCUUUUGCGGGAUGUAAAAAGUCCCGUGAAUAAGGACCGGGCAAGACUGGUGCCAGCCGCCGCGGUAAUCCCAGCGGUCCAAGUCGCAGCCACAAUUAUUGGGUCUAAAAUAUCCGUAGCUUGCUUUGCAAGUCUCUUGUGAAAUCGGGCAUCUCAAGUGUCCGGCGUGCAAGAGAUACUGCUUAGCUAGAGACCGGGAGACGUAAGAAGUACGUCAAGAGUAGCGGUAAAAUGCUCUGAUCCUUGACGGAUUAACAACAGCGAAGGCAUCUUUACGAGAACGGAUCUGACAGUGAGGGAUGAAGGCUAGGGGCGCAAAGUGGAUUAGAUGCCCAUGUAGUCCUAGCAGUAAACCCUGCACACUAAACAUUGGGGCCUCUUCGAGAGGUUUCAGUGCUGAAGGGGAGCCGGAGAGUGUGCUACCUGGGAAGUAUAGCCGCAAGGCCGAAACUUAAAGGAAUUGGCGGGGGAGCAC